This 7917-nucleotide long non-coding RNA is filed under the name Lactuca sativa (garden lettuce). RNAcentral describes it as "long non-coding RNA (LSAT_LNC008144)". The record is from RNAcentral. Lineage: Eukaryota; Viridiplantae; Streptophyta; Magnoliopsida; Asterales; Asteraceae.
AUGAAAGAAAAAAGAUUUCUCAACCGGAUCGGGCCGUACAAACGGUGGUACUCCGGCGAGCUCUUCUCACGAAGCAAUUUCCAUUCGCUUCCAAAGAGUUGACUUGAUGGUUUAAUUUCAGGCCGCCUGUCCUUCGAUGGAAACACGCAAGUACUCAGAUAAGGAUUUACGGAUGUGAACUUGAUUCGUCUUCCCAGAGGUUAGUAAAUGCUAAAUUCUUGCAAUUUUCGCUUUGAAAACCCGUUCCUUUCAGUUUUCAUUAAUGCAAUGGCCGUUUACACCAGUUGCCGAAUCCAAACAGCAUAUGUGAACUUGAUGAUUCUGAGAUGAACAACGGAUGUAAGGGCUGACAAGACAACUUUGCAUACAGCGAAUAAUCUUAUUAGUAACCCUAGCAUAAUUAGUUUCAAUUUUAUGAGAAGCACAUGGUUUAUCUAUUGAUUUGUCUCUUCGAUUUCUUUGCUUCCCUGGUAUAGGGUUGUUAGUAUACAUUUAGUAUGUUUUUUGUGAGUCUGAAUAAUUCAAGCAGAUCAUGAUAUAGCAUCAAUUCAUUCCAAUCCUCUACUUCAUUUGCGUUAAAAUCAUAUUUGCAGUGCCCAACCAAAGUUGAUUUUUUAGUUUGUUUAUCUCAUUAUUGUUUGCUGGUGGUGAUCAUUGUCUAUCAUAUGAUGAUCAUUAUAACAAUCAGUCAAUCAUAAUGAUAGAAGUUUACAAAAAUUAAUACUUGUAUGCUUGUACUACCUGCUUUUUUCUUUCUGAAACUUCGUUUGGUCCUUCAAGCCUCCCUUUCACAAGAAAGGGGUAAAAACUUAUAUAUUUGGGUUAUGCAAUUUGUUUACCAUUUUUUUGAAUAAUCACCAACAAUCAGUUGCCAUGUUAAGGUAAAUAGUUCUUCUAUAAAGAAAUAUUUGUGUCUGUAACUAGAAACCGGCAUAAGUCUCCCAUAAAGAGAAAUCACAUUAAAGAUUUACUGCUGCAGUAAAAUAAAUAAUAAAUACAAUUUUUGUAUAUACAAGUUUCACAUUCAAAGUCAAAGUAUGCCAACUAAUAGAGAAAAGAGUGAGUAUCUAUAUGAUAAUAGGCGUCUAUAUUUAUAGCAUCACUCACAUUAUUCUACAUGUAAAUUCAUAGGCUAUUUGUUCUCUUAAGCUUUUCUGUGUUACCAUCUUCAGUGGUUAAUCACACAUAUUAAUAUAUAUACAUAACCCACCUGUAACUGUAAGCUAUUUAUAUUGAAAAUCAGCAACCUCUCCAAGUUCUUCCACUUCUUUAGCCAACACUUUUACUUUAUCAACUAUCUCCAUCAAUAGAAACAUAAAGUUUGCUACAGCAAGAGCUUCAACAGUUUCAAAUGCUUGUAACUCUGAACUUGAAAGUAUAGUCAACUCUAGUUUAGUGGAUUGUAAUUCUGGAAGCACUAGGACUUUUUCAUUCCCCCUUCUCAUUUUCAUGAUACUUUCUCCUAGCUCUCUUAGGGUAACUCCAAGUGACAACCCUACAUUCUUGCAUGUCUCUUUGAUGGGCUCUUGUAGAGUUCUUGAGGGCUAUGCAUACAAAUCAACAUUAUAUGUCUACUUUGUAACUAUGUACAAAAUCAUCUGUUGUAUUAACAUUAGUCUAAAUCUAAAGAGUACCUGUAAUGGUGAUUCGAUACAUGCUUGCAGUGACAAAAUGAUUGAAGCUAGCUCCCUGAGUUUCUCUCCUAUCUGUAGAUAUUUCUCCCAAGGAUAGCAAAAUCCAAAAUUUCCAUGCCAAGGUUCCCACCUCGAAAAAUUAGCCUAAAAAGUACAACAAAAUUUAAAUAUUCCUCUUAAAAUUUACGUGUAUCCAAGAUUAUUCACUGAGUUUAAUAGGAUAAAUGAUAUUAAUUACCAGUGACUCAUCACUCGACUUUGAAUGCAACACUGCUUUGCAACUGCUGGUGUUGAUACUUUUUCUUCCUUCUUUCUCGCUCACAUUAAAAUAUGCUUCCAUGCAUUCUGCAAUUCAUCAUCUAUCAGUUUGUUACAAAGUCAAAAUCAUUUUUUUUGUUUGGGUGUAAUUGAUUAAUUAAUUAAUUACCUUCAAUGCAGGAAGCUAGUUUGGUGAAGUUGGAUGAUGUGGAGCGAUGAAGUUCAUCACUAGCCCACAUGGGGAAUAUGAGUAAGCUGGUUAUAAUGCAGACAGAAAAACCCAUCCCAAUAUUAGUGAGACGUUCACGUGCUAAUUCCAAGAUCUUAUCAGCACGCAAACCAGACACAGCUACCAGAUUAAAGGUGAGAAUAAAGAUCAUAACUCCAUAAUCAUAUCUCUUUUUUAUGCUUGGAAUCAUUCGGUAGUAUGUUGCCACAGCACCUAAACAUUAUUAUAAUUUAUUAUAUGUACACAAGGUGAAUAUACAAAAGAUUUUGCAUAUCCUUACCAAAAAUAAAAACCGAGUUUCCAACAACUAUUGUGUUUCCAGUCUUUCCAAAUUUAUCUGCCAAAAUGGCUGUGAAACACCCUAAUCCACCUCCAAGUAUGGUGCCAAUUCCACGAAGUAACCCUUUACUUAAUGUGGCACCUGUUGUAUGUUACACAAAUUAAAGAAUAAUUGAAAACUGAAACCAUAGAAACUAUCUUUAAAAUGUGUUGGUAGUUACUAACCUGCAUAGAAAUCAUAGACAACAACAACAGUCAUGAUAGCCCACAUGGCAUUUUCUCCAACUUGCUCAAAAAGUGGAUCAAGGAGAUAGAGGAGUGAAACUAAAACCAAAGCAGUUCCAACUUUGAUACUAUGAAUAACUCUUUUUGCAUCCUGUUCAUGAUGUUUGCUUAUAAGAUACCAAACAUUAAAAAGGGCAAAGUGUUUAUUUUGCUUCUCCUUGUUAGGAGAAGCUUCAUUUUCAUUACAAAUGUGUAUUGUGGUGCUCAUGUUUUUUCCACACUUUUCCUCUUUGGGAUGAGUCACACUUCUUUAUAUAGGAAUUGGUGUGGAGUUACACUUAUAUGGGACAUGUUCAAGUGCUAAAAUGGAAUUUGUCUCCUAAAAAUUUAAUCUGUAUGUGUACUUAUUAGUUACUUGAUAAGAUAAUUGCAUUAUGCACAUCCAUCACUAACAUCAAUAUUUUAAUAGAUAUUUACUUUCCCUCUAUUCUUAUUUACUUCAUUUUGGGAUUUCUUAUUCUGUUUUACUGACUAUGUUACUGUUUUAGUAACAUCACCAUGAAUAAUAAUAAGCAUAUAAUAAGACAAAACCAAACCACCCUAAUCGUUGGAUAUAAAUAUUUAUAUUUCCACUUACAUGUGACCCUAUGAUGACAUAAACGGGCCCUCUCUUUCCCUUAAUGUGAUUAGAUAUUCAUUUGUGUAACCUUUUAGUAUAUUAAAAACAAGUACUAUUGUCGUACUAAAGAUUAUAAAAGCAUAAUGAUUCAUCUAAGAUGAAGGCUUAAGAGAAUUAAAAAGUCUAGUCAACUCCGAGGAGUUGACCUAAUGUGCUGAAUACAAAACCCUAAUUAUAAUUUAUAAACAUGGAAGUGCAUAAUAUUUAUUAAAUGCUGAAAUACAUAAGUUAGGUAAAGAAAAUUCAAUAGAAAGAGACCCAAUCAAGUAAAUAGAAAGUGACCCAUAUGCUCUCUAGUGUUGAUGACAUGAGGAGAUUUGGUGCUUUAAAGUUCCAGGUGAUGGGAAAUUCUUUUUUUUUUUUUUAAUAUUUUAUUUAUUGUACCAAAAUCCGUACUUAUUGCAUGAUGGUUUCUACUUUGUAGCACCUAGUGUGAGUGUGACCACAUUUUCCGCAGUUUACUCCACAUUCCUAUGUUAUUUUCUAUCUCAUUUUCACACUAGACAUCUUUACACACAAAUUCAAAAGAAAACCCAUGCGUUAAUCAUUUCUCCAUUAUUUAUAUUUAUAUGUAUUCUAGAACACUAACUUUUAAUGAUAUGUGAACACUUACUUUGCUUCACUUAUGAUCAUAUAUAUUAAGGACAUCAAAAGUCAAAGCUGUUGUUUCCAACUUUUAAACUCUCAAAUCUUGUCCAAGUUAGUGUUAAUGAGAUACAAUUAGACGUCAUGAGUGACUUCUGAAUGUUGGUGCUGAAGCAAUUGGACACUGAGAUUGAUGCUUCAAAAAUCAUUUAAGUUUUUGCAUUUUCUUUUUGGGUAAAAUUUUGUGUUUGAUAAUGCAAUUUUUGAAGGCGUAAAUCGCUAAUUUCUGAGUAAAGUUGUAACUUUCACUUAGUGAAUUAUGCCAUUUGUGAGGUUAUCUUCUUUUUAUUAAUGGUUGACAAUCCACCAACUGAAACUGAUUUGUAUAAAAUCAACAUAAGCAUGAUGUCAAUCAAGGAUUCAGAGUAAAGAAUGACGUGUUUAAGUAUCGUUUUUAGCAGAGUAAAGAAGUGGAAUUUUUAAGGAAUAAUCAAUGUUGUAUUAGUCAUAUUCAUCUAUUUUUUAUGUAGCAUCACCUUGCGAACCCUAUGAGACGAUUUUUGAAAAGUACAGGGACCUAGAUGGGAAGUAGCUCAAAGUUACAGUAAAAUUUGUAAAUUUCAACCCUGCACUUUGUUAAGGAAAUUUGGUGGCUUAAAGGUGGAACGGAAGGAGAGACAAAAUUGAAAGGCAGGCAGGAAAAUUGCUGAAUGUCAUUCUCCUAUGUACCAACAUCUGUCUCUAUCAUGCUCUGCCUUUUUUCACUAAAUCAUCCGUGCACCACUACAACCAAAAUGAUUUAAACUCAUAAAUUCUCUAUAUUUUAAAUUAUUUAUUAACGGCUGUCAUUUCUUUUCUAAUAAAACAAAACUGAAUUUAUGGUAUAUUCUUUACCUAAUAUGUCAUCAUCAUCAUCAUCACCUCAACUUUUUUGCUUAGUUUUUGUAUUUUGUCACGGGUCAAAACGCUAAUCCUCCUUUAGAAUGUUGAAAAAAAUGGAAAUUUGAAUUCCAGCUACUCUUCAUACUUCGUAUUAAUUAUUUUCUUAUACAUUUUUGUACGUGUUUAUUGACAAAAUGAUAUAUUAUAUUUCUGUACGUGUUUACUGGUAAAAUUGUUUCAUCUGUAAGUUAUUUGAUGCAGUACUGGUGGAUAAAAUUGGUGGUGUUUUAAAAAGGUGGACACGUGGAAUUUUACUAUCUAAAGAAAAUCAUGUAUGUAAGCUUUUAACGCUUUCUGUUUCUUAGGUUUAAUAUCAUGAGCCUCUUCAAAGAUAUUAGAUUGUUAUUUUAAUUCUAUAUGCAAUAAAGUUUAACACAUUAAUCAUUUAUGAUAUAUAUUUUUAAAAUGGACAAAAGACCAUUGGCAAGCUGGCCCGGCCCGACCCAUACUAAAACAACUUUUGACCCACCCAUUUCCCCAUCUUUACUUUUCGUAAGUGGUUAUUAACUAUUUUGUUGAAGAUAAAAAGGAUGCUUUUCUUCCUAUCAAAUCCAAUGGGCCCAUAAUUUGGUAUUUGUCUGCUGUGGCCUAAAAUUCAACAUAAUGUAUGCUAAUCACCAUGAACUAACUGGCUGUGUUCAGAUCACUAAUCAUGCACCUACACAGCAUAACCAUUUUGGAACAAAAAAAAAAAAAUCGUUUUUUACAUGGUUAACCAAUUUUCCUAUGUAUAUUUUUUUUUCUUUCGUUCCAUCAUUUGGGUCUCAUACAUCGGUCAUUAUCUCAUUCUAAUGCAUAUCAAAUAUGAACAUAUUGUCAUGCUGUGUCUAGGAAAUGGGCCCAAAACUGUGUACUGUGUUGACAUAAUAAGAGACUGGUUUUAUAUGCAAUUGGUUGUUUUGAUAGUGUAAAACCUUUCUAAGAAAAACCACCUACCUACCUAAUCAGUAAUCACAAUAUCACAAUGCUCAUAAUAAUGGAGAGUCCACUAAAAAAAUUUCCAUUUAUUGUUGGUGGCAUAAGUCAUAAGAUAUGGAGAUGGGAUUUAUCAUUUAUGGUGGAGGAUGAGUUGCUCAUCUCAUCCUUUCUGUCCAAAACCCUAACCCUACCUUAAUCUCUUAGGUUUUAGUCCUCUAGUUGGCCCUACAUGUGUGCGUUUUUUUUUCGGAUGAUUUGAUUUGCUAAUUGUUAUUACUUUUGUGGCUGUGUGUUCUGUUUAGGGUUAAUUGUUAAUAGACAUCAUCGAUUUAACUAUUUAUAUUUUUAAUGGGUAUUUCAAGUAUUUGAUCAUAAGUCCAAAAAAAAAAUUGAAUUAUAUGUCGAGUGUUGGUGUGUUUUAUUUAGGGUUAUUUGCAAGAAAGCUGAGUUUUUAUGGUUUUACACUUAUUGUAAAUUUUACUAAAUUUACCCUGUAAUUUUGAUAUGAAUUCUUAAUUUGGUAUAUUUUUAAUCCUUUUUACCGGUUUCUCGGUUUCCUUAAGAUGAAACUCACAAGAAUAUCCUUAAGUUUGUAGUUCUUUUUGCAGUUUUACCUAAAGUUUAUUAUUAUUAUUAUUAUUUUAAUUUAUUUUUAUCGCCAAUUUUACCCAAUAGAUUUCAUAUAACUUGUUAAUUUCUCAUUCACCUCUUUCUCUGCUCAUGUUCACUUGGCAUUUUUUUGUUGACAUUGUAUGUAAAUAAACGCCUUACUUGUCAACCAAACAACAUUUUUGUAAUUAACGUUACUUUAAUUACAAAAAUGUGUAUAAUUAUUGCAAUUGCCAAGACGUAGCUAUCUAUGCCUACACUUGUGAAUAGUUUGUUAGAGAAAGCAUUGUAAGAUGUACACAUUUGUUUCGACUUUUGAUAUGUAUGCAUGAAUUUCAUUAAUUUAAUAUGGUUUUUGGGAGUUAUUAUUUAUCAUAUUUGUGAGGAAGUUGCUAACAAAUAAUACAAGUUAAAAGGAAUAAAAUCAUCGUAUAAUCUUUAUUUAUAAUCUCAUUUUUAAUUAUAAGAAAGUUCUAUUAAUUAUAUUAUAUAAUUUCCCAUAUAAUCACUGUCGAUCCAAAAGACUUGUAAUAAAUUUAUAUAUCUUGUUCGAUAAUCAUUCACGGAUUAGUAUCCGACACACUUUCAUCUCAAAGAUCAUUCAAACAAGAUAUACAAUAAUAUUUCUUUUACCAAUGUCUUUCGGAUCCUACGAAUGAAUAUCCACGGACGUACAUGUGUUUGAUGUAACAAUCUCUUACCCUUACCUAAAUAGUAGAAGAAUGUCGACAAAUUGAUCAUGCAAGCCUACUAACUCCCAUUGUUGGUUGAAAUCUAUUCAUUUAGGUAGCGUUUGGUACAUGGACAACAUUUGACUGGACUGGAUUGGACAUAAAUGGACUGCACUGGACAGAAUAUAACUAAAUAACUUGUUUGGAUUGUGUUUGGUACGACAAUGAAAUGUUGGGACAGAACAAGACAGUAAAAUUACCAUAUCGUCCCUACACCACAUAAUAAUUAUAAGUGAUGUACGUUAUAUAUAUAUAUAUAUANNNNNNNNNNNNNNNNNNNNNNNNNNNNNNNNNNNNNNNNNNNNNNNNNNNNNNNNNNNNNNNNNNNNNNNNNNNNNNNNNNNNNNNNNNNNNNNNNNNNNNNNNNNNNNNNNNNNNNNNNNNNNNNNNNNNNNNNNNNNNNNNNNNNNNNNNNNNNNNNNNNNNNNNNNNNNNNNNNNNNNNNNNNNNNNNNNNNNNNNNNNNNNNNNNNNNNNNNNNNNNNNNNNNNNNNNNNNNNNNNNNNNNNNNNNNNNNNNNNNNNNNNNNNNNNNNNNNNNNNNNNNNNNNNNNNNNNNNNNNNUAUAUAUAUAUAUAUAUAUAUAUAGGGUUAGGUUAUUUUGUUUUUGCUAAGUAUUGUGUGCUUUUAUAAAGGAUUCUAGGCCAAUCAUUUGUGGUUAAUUAAGAAAGUGAUUUUCUUUUAAAAUUAAAUAGAAAAAAAAAACAAAUUCAUAGACUUUCAUUGUUUGACUGGUCAUGGAAGGGUAAAAUGGUACACUGCCUCGUCAUUUUAUUAGGAAACGGUCGAUAACUAUGGAAGUGAUCAACCGAUAAUCCCACAUAUCUCGC